Molecule: ribosomal RNA, 769 nt
Filed under: uncultured bacterium
Lineage: Bacteria
Description: bacterial SSU rRNA
Rfam family: Bacterial small subunit ribosomal RNA
Source: RNAcentral
GAUGAACGCUAGCGGCAGGCUUAAUACAUGCAAGUCGAGGGGCAGCGCAGUGUAGCAAUACAUGGGCGGCGACCGGCAAACGGGUGCGGAACACGUACGCAACCUUCCUUUAGCUGGGAGAUAGCCCACCGAAAGGUGGAUUAAUAUCCCAUAGUAUAUUUGAGUGGCAUCACUUAGAUAUUAAAGCUCCGGCGGUUAAAGAUGGGCGUGCGUCUGAUUAGGUAGUUGGCGGGGUAACGGCCCACCAAGCCCACGAUCAGUAGCUGAUGUGAGAGCAUGAUCAGCCACACGGGCACUGAGACACGGGCCCGACUCCUACGGGAGGCAGCAGUAAGGAAUAUUGGUCAAUGGACGCAAGUCUGAACCAGCCAUGCCGCGUGGAGGGUGAAGGCCCUCUGGGUUGUAAACUUCUUUUCUUUGGGACGAACCCUGUUCUACGGGGACUGACGGUACCAGAGGAAUAAGCACCGGCUAACUCCGUGCCAGCAGCCGCGGUAAUACGGAGGGUGCAAGCGUUAUCCGGAUUCACUGGGUUUAAAGGGAGCGUAGGUGGGCUUUUAAGUCAGUGGUGAAAUCUCUGGGCUUAACCCGGAAACUGCCAUUGAUACUAUUAGUCUUGAAUUCUCUGGAGGUAAGCGGAAUAUGUCAUGUAGCGGUGAAAUGCUUAGAUAUGACAUAGAACACCCAUUGCGAAGGCAGCUUACUACGGAGCGAUUGACACUGAGGCUCGAAAGCGUGGGGGAUCAAACAGGAUUAGAUACCCUGGUAG